RNAcentral lists this ribosomal RNA (471 nucleotides) under uncultured Alphaproteobacteria bacterium. RNAcentral describes it as "bacterial SSU rRNA". It matches the Rfam family "Bacterial small subunit ribosomal RNA", at positions 9 to 524 of the family's 1533-position model. The record is from RNAcentral. Lineage: Bacteria; Pseudomonadati; Pseudomonadota; Alphaproteobacteria.
GAGUUUGAUCCUGGCUCAGAGCGAACGCUGGCGGCAGGCUUAACACAUGCAAGUCGAGCGGGUGUAGCAAUACAUCAGCGGCAGACGGGUGAGUAACGCGUGGGAACGUACCUUUUGGUCCGGAACAACCCAGGGAAACUUGGGCUAAUACCGGAUAAGCCCUUACGGGGAAAGAUUUAUCGCCGAAAGAUCGGCCCGCGUCUGAUUAGCUAGUUGGUGAGGUAAUGGCUCACCAAGGCGACGAUCAGUAGCUGGUCUGAGAGGAUGAUCAGCCACAUUGGGACUGAGACACGGCCCAAACUCCUACGGGAGGCAGCAGUGGGGAAUAUUGGACAAUGGGGGCAACCCUGAUCCAGCCAUGCCGCGUGAGUGAUGAAGGCCCUAGGGUUGUAAAGCUCUUUUGUGCGGGAAGAUAAUGACGGUACCGCAAGAAUAAGCCCCGGCUAACUUCGUGCCAGCCGCCGCCGUAAU